AGGACGACGCUGGCGGCGUGCUUAACACAUGCAAGUCGAGCGAGAAAGCCCCUUCGGGGGUGAGUACAGCGGCGAACGGGUGAGUAACACGUGGGCAACCUGCCCCGGAGACUGGGAUAACGUCCCGAAAGGGACGCUAAUACCGGAUGAUGCGUGACCUGCCAAGUGGGUCACGUCAAAUGGUAGUCUCGGCCUCUGCUCCGGGAUGGGCCCGCGCCGGAUUAGCUUGUUGGUGAGGUAACGGCUCACCAAGGCGACGAUCCGUAGCUGGUCUGAGAGGACGAUCAGCCACACUGGGACUGAGACACGGCCCAGACUCCUACGGGAGGCAGCAGUGGGGAAUCUUGCGCAAUGGGUGAAAGCCUGACGCAGCAACGCCGCGUGAGCGAAGACGGCCUUCGGGUUGUAAAGCUCUGUCAGGAGGGACGAAGCCACUCGGGUGAACAGCCCAGAGGGUGACGGUACCUCCACAGGAAGCCCCGGCUAACUACGUG
RNAcentral lists this ribosomal RNA (494 nucleotides) under uncultured bacterium. RNAcentral's name for it is "bacterial SSU rRNA". It matches the Rfam family "Bacterial small subunit ribosomal RNA", at positions 33 to 507 of the family's 1533-position model. The record is from RNAcentral.